RNAcentral lists this ribosomal RNA (240 nucleotides) under uncultured bacterium. RNAcentral describes it as "partial 16S ribosomal RNA". It matches the Rfam family "Bacterial small subunit ribosomal RNA", at positions 15 to 236 of the family's 1533-position model. The record is from RNAcentral.
GAUCCUGGCUCAGGAUGAACGCUGGCGGCGUGCCUAACACAUGCAAGUCGAGCGAAGCAUUUUAAAGGAAGUUUUCGGAUGGAAUUUGAAAUGACUGAGCGGCGGACGGGUGAGUAACGCGUGGGUAACCUGCCUCAUACAGGGGGGAUAACAGUUAGAAAUGACUGCUAAUACCGCAUAAGCACACAGUACCGCAUGGUACAGAGUGAAAAACUCCGGUGGUAUGAGAUGGACCCGCGU